UUCAAAGGAUACCUAAAAAAUUAUCUGCAAGCUGAUUGGCUAGUGGCAAGCAGAGAUGCGACUUACGGGCGAGAAAAUUUAGUGGAGGGAACGUCGGUACUAGCUUCAUAGGACAUGUUUUGGGUUUUGAUUUGUUUACGUUUUCCUCAGUCAGACAGUUGUCUUUUAGGCGCUGUGUUGUUCGUGUGUUUUGUUAGUUUUUCCUUAUUUUCAUUUUGUUUUGGACGUUUUGCUUGUUAUGCGAUGACUGAGUGAUUUUGUUGUUUUAUUUGUGUUUGUGUUGUCCGCAGUAUGUGCUAAUUUAGAAUGUCUGGAGUAACGUUGGCUGGUGGGCAGCCUUCAGGAGGCAAUACAGACGUGGGAGAUGGAGGUGGAAGA
This is a long non-coding RNA of Dendroctonus ponderosae (mountain pine beetle), 378 nucleotides long. RefSeq lists it as uncharacterized. The transcript is spliced from 2 exons. The record is from RefSeq and is a predicted model, not a curated record. Lineage: Eukaryota; Metazoa; Arthropoda; Insecta; Coleoptera; Curculionidae.